UUUUAUCAUUUUGGGUCAGAUUUCUUUUGAGGUGUUAAACCCUGAAAAUUGGUUUUCUUGGUAGCUCGGAAUCGGAUCAAAAAUGACGAGAGCGGCUCUCUUUCAGUGGCUGCGAUCACAGUCCAGACACCUCGCAUCCUCAAGGUUCCGCUCAGGUUAUCAGCCGUGCAGGUCUGCAGCAUGGGCUGCUAGUCUGAACACUAAACUGGGUUUCAACUCUGGCUUCGAGAUCAAUUCUUCGCAGAAAAGAUGGGCUUCUCAUGCCACAACAAGAGAAGAUGAUGGCAAAAUCAGCAUUGGACCUCGCAGGGGUGGCGAAAUUGGGGAAGAUGAAAAGGACUCUGGGGUUGUUUACUAUGGCCCAAUCUCAUCUACUAUCAAGAAAGUGAAACUUCUCUCGCUGUCGACCUGCUGCCUUUCUGUAUCUCUAGGUCCUGUGAUAACCUUUAUGACAUCUCCAGGUAUGAAUGUGAUCUUGAAGGGUGCAGUGGCAUCUUCAGUGAUAUUCUUGAGUGCUUCUACCACAGCCGCUCUUCACUGGUUCGUGACACCAUACAUUCACAAGCUCAAGUGGAAGCCUGGUUCAGACAGUUUUGAGGUGGAAAUGAUGUCAUGGCUUGCAACACUACAUUCCGAGGACGAUUAAGUUUUCUGAUAUCCGGCCAGCAGAAACCAAUAGGCCUUUUGUGACUUUUAAGGCCAAUGGAAACUUUUACUUCGUGGACGCAGAUCAUUGUCAUAACAAGGCUUUGCUAGCAAGACUGACCCCGCAGAAAGAAACUCGUGAGUCGGGUUUUAAGAACUUAUGAUCAUGUGAUGCCUAGUGUCGGAAGUUUUGCUCUUUGUGGCUGAAUUAUGUUAUAGAAAUCGUGUAUUGCAAUGAGAUUUUGUGGCACGUACCGCUUUUUUUUUUUUAGACACCGACACUGGUUUCGGGUACUUUGGAUUAGAGAAAUAAUUGAUAUUUGCUUAAUAUGAUUAGUGUGCUCUGCACUGCACACCCCAUCCCCAUA
Pyrus x bretschneideri (Chinese white pear) is the source of this 1013-nucleotide RNA transcript. RefSeq lists it as uncharacterized. The record is from RefSeq and is a predicted model, not a curated record. The transcript is spliced from 2 exons. Lineage: Eukaryota; Viridiplantae; Streptophyta; Magnoliopsida; Rosales; Rosaceae.